This 253-nucleotide ribosomal RNA is filed under the name uncultured bacterium. RNAcentral's name for it is "partial 16S ribosomal RNA". It matches the Rfam family "Bacterial small subunit ribosomal RNA", at positions 524 to 776 of the family's 1533-position model. The record is from RNAcentral.
UACAGAGACUGCAAGCGUUGUUCGGAUUCAUUGGGCGUAAAGGGUGCGCAGGCGGUGUGCUAAGUCGGGUGUGAAAUCUUGGAGCUUAACUCCGAAACUGCAUUCGAUACUGCCGUGCUUGAGGACUGGAGAGGAGACUGGAAUUUACGGUGUAGCGGUGAAAUGCGUAGAUAUCGUAAGGAAGACCAGUGGCGAAGGCGGGUCUCUGGACAGUUCCUGACGCUGAGGCACGAAGGCCAGGGGAGCAAACGGG